RNAcentral lists this ribosomal RNA (374 nucleotides) under uncultured organism. Its description in RNAcentral is "partial 16S ribosomal RNA". It matches the Rfam family "Bacterial small subunit ribosomal RNA", at positions 527 to 896 of the family's 1533-position model. The record is from RNAcentral.
GUAGGUGGCAAGCGUUGUCCGGAAUUAUUGGGCGUAAGGCGCGCGCAGGCGGUCCUUUAAGUCUGAUGUGAAAGCCCACGGCUCAACCGUGGAGGGUCAUUGGAAACUGGGGGACUUGAGUACAGAAGAGGAAAGCGGAAUUCCAAGUGCAGCGGUGAAAUGCGUAGAGAUUUGGAGGAACACCAGUGGCGAAGGCGGCUUUCUGGUCUGUAACUGACGCUGAGGCGCGAAAGCGUGGGGAGCAAACAGGAUUAGAUACCCUGGUAGUCCACGCCGUAAACGAUGAGUGCUAAGUGUUAGGGGGUUUCCCGCCCCCCUUAGUGCUGCAGCUAACGCAUUAAGCACUCCGCCUGGGGAGUACGGCCGCAAGGCUG